AGAGAAUCCCUUGAGCCCGGGAAGCAGAGGUUGCAGUGAGCCGAGAUCGCACCAUUGCACUCCAGCCUGGGCAACAAGA
RNAcentral lists this small nuclear RNA (79 nucleotides) under Homo sapiens (human). Its description in RNAcentral is "partial ncRNA". The record is from RNAcentral. Lineage: Eukaryota; Metazoa; Chordata; Mammalia; Primates; Hominidae.